RNAcentral lists this ribosomal RNA (377 nucleotides) under uncultured bacterium. RNAcentral's name for it is "bacterial SSU rRNA". It matches the Rfam family "Bacterial small subunit ribosomal RNA", at positions 521 to 896 of the family's 1533-position model. The record is from RNAcentral.
UAAGACGGAGGGUGCAAGCGUUGCUCGGAAUCAUUGGGCGUAAAGGGUGCGUAGGCGGCUUCUUAAGUCUGACGUGAAAGCCCAGGGCUCAGCCUUGGAAGUGCGUUAGAAACUGAGAAGCUUGAGUGCCGGAGGGGAGAGUGGAAUUCCUGGUGUAGCGGUGAAAUGCGUAGAUAUCAGGAGGAAUACCGGUGGCGAAAGCGACUCUCUGGACGGCAACUGACGCUGAGGCACGAAAGCGUGGGUAGCAAACAGGAUUAGAUACCCUGGUAGUCCACGCUGUAAACGAUGGACACUAGGUGUCGGGGGUAUCCACUCCCUCGGUGCCGCCGCUAACGCAUUAAGUGUCCCGCCUGGGAAGUACGGCCGCAAGGUUA